This 526-nucleotide long non-coding RNA is filed under the name Eutrema salsugineum. RNAcentral describes it as "long non-coding RNA (ESAL_LNC001497)". The record is from RNAcentral. Lineage: Eukaryota; Viridiplantae; Streptophyta; Magnoliopsida; Brassicales; Brassicaceae.
GAAUUCCUACUAAAAUUAAACCAAUUCAUCUCAAAGUUCUGGCCUGGGACUCUCUUAUUUCCACGGUGAUGUUCUCCUGUUGAUGUGUACCUUUUAUCUCUCUUUCUUCCCUAGCGUUUAGAGAAUUUUUGAGGUAGGCAUAUAAAUUCUUUUGUUUCAGCCAGAAUAACCCACUGAGAUCUAGGCGCCACUGGAUAAACCGCCCUCACACAUGCCAACAUCCACUGCUCCAUCCAAUAAUAUCUCGAGAAAAACUCAUGGUAGUGAAUAUCCCUGGACUUAUCUUUUUGUUCAUUGAAUUUGAUCGCCGCGACUAAUGCAUGUACGCAGAGAUACUUGUCUCAAAAUGCUUGCAAUCUGUUAACACCGUAUCUGUACCCAUUUUCACUAUUGAUUUCAAAUUUUUUUCAAAGCUUUUAAUUAGUUUUAGGAGCUUUUAUUAUAUGUUUUCUAUUUUUUUUAGUUUCAAGGCUCUUUUAGGAAACUUAGGGAAAAAAUGGCAAAAUGAAAGAAAUCCACAUUUUCA